Molecule: ribosomal RNA, 497 nt
Filed under: uncultured bacterium
Lineage: Bacteria
Description: partial 16S ribosomal RNA
Rfam family: Bacterial small subunit ribosomal RNA
Source: RNAcentral
GACGAACGCUGGCGGCGUGCCUAAUACAUGCAAGUUGAGCGCUGAAGGUUGGUACUUGUACCAACUGGAUGAGCAGCGAACGGGUGAGUAACGCGUGGGGAAUCUGCCUUUGAGCGGGGGACAACAUUUGGAAACGAAUGCUAAUACCGCAUAAAAACUUUAAACACAAGUUUUAAGUUUGAAAGAUGCAAUUGCAUCACUCAAAGAUGAUCCCGCGUUGUAUUAGCUAGUUGGUGAGGUAAAGGCCCACCAAGGCGAUGAUACAUAGCCGACCUGAGAGGGUGAUCGGCCACAUUGGGACUGAGACACGGCCCAAACCCCUACGGGAGGCAGCAGUAGGGAAUCUUCGGCAAUGGACGAAAGUCUGACCGAGCAACGCCGCGUGAGUGAAGAAGGUUUUCGGAUCGUAAAACUCUGUUGGUAGAGAAGAACGUUGGUGAGAGUGGAAAGCUCAUCAAGUGACGGUAACUACCCAGAAAGGGACGGCUAACUACGUG